UACGUAGGGGGCAAGCGUUGUCCGGAUUUAUUGGGCGUAAAGAGCGUGUAGGCGGCUUGGUAGGUCCGCUGUGAAAACUCGAGGCUCAACCUCGAGAUGUCGGCGGAAACCACUUGGCUAGAGUCCGGAAGAGGAGAGUGGAAUUCCUGGUGUAGCGGUGAAAUGCGCAGAUAUCGGAAGGAACAUCAGUGGCGAAAGCGGCUUCCUGGACCAGUACCGACGUUCAGGCACGAAAGCGUGGGGAGCAAACAGG
RNAcentral lists this ribosomal RNA (253 nucleotides) under uncultured bacterium. RNAcentral's name for it is "partial 16S ribosomal RNA". It matches the Rfam family "Bacterial small subunit ribosomal RNA", at positions 524 to 776 of the family's 1533-position model. The record is from RNAcentral.